UCGAAUUCGUUCGGCAACUUAGUGGCCC
RNAcentral lists this small RNA (28 nucleotides) under Bombyx mori (domestic silkworm). Its description in RNAcentral is "ovarian small RNA-28262". The record is from RNAcentral. Lineage: Eukaryota; Metazoa; Arthropoda; Insecta; Lepidoptera; Bombycidae.